AAAGUAAAAAAUUGUAACAAGGGUAACAAGGUUUCCGUAGGUGAACCUGCGGAAGGAUCAUUG
Molecule: ribosomal RNA, 63 nt
Filed under: Conioselinum officinale
Lineage: Eukaryota; Viridiplantae; Streptophyta; Magnoliopsida; Apiales; Apiaceae
Description: Cnidium officinale partial 18S ribosomal RNA
Source: RNAcentral